CGCGACCNCAGGUCAGGCGGGG
This 22-nucleotide ribosomal RNA is filed under the name Acacia penninervis. RNAcentral's name for it is "partial large subunit ribosomal RNA". Lineage: Eukaryota; Viridiplantae; Streptophyta; Magnoliopsida; Fabales; Fabaceae. The record is from RNAcentral.